Molecule: long non-coding RNA, 378 nt
Filed under: Manihot esculenta (cassava)
Lineage: Eukaryota; Viridiplantae; Streptophyta; Magnoliopsida; Malpighiales; Euphorbiaceae
Description: long non-coding RNA (MESC_LNC008077)
Source: RNAcentral
UAAAGAGCCAAAAAAUAUGGCAAUCUUCUCUAGUUUAGCACAAAAUUUAUAUCAAGUUAGACAAAAAAAAAAAAUAAAAAUAAAAAAAAGGGAGGAAAACACAAUUAUUAAAGCCGAAUAAUGGCCCAUGCUUAAGUUGAUUUGCUGGUUGUUAACCACCGGGUACAAUGGGUCCAAUCAAACCAUGAAACAAACACUAGACCACUUCACCAUUUUUCAUUAUUUUUUUUACAUUUUUCAUUAUUUUUUUUAACAUUUAAUAAACCGAAAAUGAAGAAGAAGAAACAAGAGGAAGCUGGGUUCACGCCUGAAGGAAACUCAGUGAUCAUUCUGCAGAAACUCAACAAAAUGGUCCAAGUAUUGAUCAUGGAAACCUUU